RNAcentral lists this ribosomal RNA (449 nucleotides) under uncultured bacterium. RNAcentral describes it as "bacterial SSU rRNA". It matches the Rfam family "Bacterial small subunit ribosomal RNA", at positions 355 to 796 of the family's 1533-position model. The record is from RNAcentral.
UGGGGAAUAUUGGACAAUGGGCGGAAGCCUGAUCCAGCAAUGCCGCGUGUGUGAAGAAGGCCUGAGGGUUGUAAAGCACUUUCGUUUUUGAAGAAGUAAUGUGGGUUAAGAGCUAGCAUUAUUGACGUUAGAGAAAGAAGAAGCACCGGCUAACUCUGUGCCAGCAGCCGCGGUAAUACAGAGGGUGCGAGCGUUAAUCGGAAUUACUGGGCGUAAAGGGUGCGUAGGUGGUUUUGUAAGUAACAUGUGAAAGUCCUGAGCUUAACUUGGGGAUUGCGUGUUAAACUGCAGAGCUAGAGUGUUGUAGAGGAUAGCGGAAUUUCCGGUGUAGCGGUGAAAUGCGUAGAUAUCGGAAGGAACAUCAGUGGCGAAGGCGGCUAUCUGGACAACAACUGACACUGAGGCACGAAAGCGUGGGGAGCAAACAGGAUUAGAUACCCCCGUAGUCC